RNAcentral lists this ribosomal RNA (301 nucleotides) under uncultured bacterium. RNAcentral describes it as "partial 16S ribosomal RNA". It matches the Rfam family "Bacterial small subunit ribosomal RNA", at positions 509 to 807 of the family's 1533-position model. The record is from RNAcentral.
CAGUAGCCACGGUAAUACAGAGGGUGCAAGCGUUAAUCGGAUUUACUGGGCGUAAAGGGCGCGUAGGUGGUUAUUUAAGUGAGAUGUGAAAGCCCCGGGCUUAACCUGGGAACUGCAUCUUAUACUGGGUAACUGGAGUGCAGUAGAGGGUAGUGGAAUUUCCGGUGUAGCGGUGAAAUGCGUAGAUAUCGGAAGGAACACCAGUGGCGAAGGCGGCUACCUGGACUGAGACUGACACUGAGGCGCGAGAGCGUGGGGAGCAAACAGGAUUAGAUACCCGCGUAGUCCCUGUCUCUUAUAC